GGGGGCGACCUGGUUUCGACGUGGGUUACAAAGCAGAGCAGGGCAUACCGAGGGCUGGUCACCUCGUAAAUACAACCAGAAAAUAUAUAACUGCAAACGAUAACUCGUACGCACAAGACAAUUUCGCACUAGCUGCGUAAUUGACUUGCUCUACACCAUCUCGUCCCUGGGGUGGGCUGGUAAAACAGCAGUGGAGUCAUUUACAGGGAAUCGCUUUUGAUCGGGUUACUUGAUUAAAAGUUAAAUUUAGGUAACUCGCCUGAACGAAGUGUGUGUGUCCACGUCGGCUGGGCUAAAUUAAAUGACAACACUAAGUAUGUAGAACUGUCUGUAGAGGAUUUGCGGACGCGGGUUCGAUUCCCGCCGCCUCCACCA
Molecule: transfer-messenger RNA, 375 nt
Filed under: Burkholderiaceae
Lineage: Bacteria; Pseudomonadati; Pseudomonadota; Betaproteobacteria; Burkholderiales
Also listed under: 1 other name
Description: Glaciimonas sp003056055 Standard tmRNA
Rfam family: transfer-messenger RNA
About the family: Bacterial tmRNA, also known as 10Sa RNA or SsrA, is named for its dual tRNA and mRNA-like properties. Its role is to liberate the mRNA from a stalled ribosome.
Source: RNAcentral